Cuculus canorus (common cuckoo) is the source of this 762-nucleotide long non-coding RNA. RefSeq lists it as uncharacterized. Lineage: Eukaryota; Metazoa; Chordata; Aves; Cuculiformes; Cuculidae. The transcript has 3 exons. The record is from RefSeq and is a predicted model, not a curated record.
AAGACUGCAGUUCAUGGAAAUGACGUUGCUUUUCCCCAGCACUUCCUAACUGACUGAAUUUAGGUGAAGUUUGUUACUGUGAAAAAUCCCAGGGAGACCAGAGAUACAGAUGACAAGUGUCUGGGACAGGUUUUUUUAUCCCCUGAAGCUUCAAAGCUCCCAUAGUCUCCACUGAAUGACAGACCCUAAGAAAGUUUUAGAAAAAAAUUGAUUCAGUAAUUUAGCAUUUCCUUGUCAGAAAUCUGAAACAAAGAGCAGCUCUCCGAAAUAUUCCUCUCCUGAAGGGUAACUGAACUGUUCUGUGCAGAGCUGUUUUGAGUAUCUUGAUACCUUUCUUAUUCAGAUAUUUGUUUCCUGUGUUUCUUUUGCAUUUAGCUAAAAGAUGUUAUUAUCUCAGUAAAGGCUGAUUUGUGGAGGCUUCUUCAGCUACAAGAGUCAGCAAUGCCACUCACGUGGGGAAACUGCCAAACAAAGGAGAAGAAGAAAGGAGAAGAAACAUAUUGCUUCUUCCAGUCUAUGUAGAAGCAAUUCAGAGAAGAGAUGCAAUCAACGCUUCUGUUUCCCACCUUGCUGAAAUGAACAAACAGUGUGGGAUUAGUUGGCAAUUCCUUAUGAUGAAGCCAUUCUAUUCCUUACCAUACUUUCCCUCCUACAGCCUUUCCAAGGGGGAAGAAAGAAAGGGUAAGAACAGCAACAGAAACCCAUUUACAGAUCAGCUUAUGAGAGAAAAAUAAAAAAAAAAGUGCACCUUUCUGAAGUGAC